GACGAACGCUGGCGGCGUGCUUAACACAUGCAAGUCGUACGGUAAGGCCCUUUCGGGGGUACACGAGUGGCGAACGGGUGAGUAACACGUGAGUAACCUGCCCACAACUUUGGGAUAACGCUAGGAAACUGGUGCUAAUACUGGAUAUGUGCUCCUGCUGCAUGGUGGGGGUUGGAAAGCUCCGGCGGUUGUGGAUGGACUCGCGGCCUAUCAGCUUGUUGGUGGGGUAGUGGCCUACCAAGGCGGCGACGGGUAGCCGGCCUGAGAGGGUGACCGGCCACAUUGGGACUGAGAUACGGCCCAGACUCCUACGGGAGGCAGCAGUGGGGAAUAUUGCACAAUGGGCGCAAGCCUGAUGCAGCAACGCCGCGUGCGGGAUGACGGCCUUCGGGUUGUAAACCGCUUUCAGCAGGGACGAAGUUUUUUGUGACGGUACCUGCAGAAGAAGCACCGGCUAACUACGUG
Molecule: ribosomal RNA, 465 nt
Filed under: uncultured bacterium
Lineage: Bacteria
Description: partial 16S ribosomal RNA
Rfam family: Bacterial small subunit ribosomal RNA
Source: RNAcentral